UACGUAGGGGGCAAGCGUUAUCCGGAAUUACUGGGUGUAAAGGGAGCGUAGACGGUAAUGUAAGUCUGGAGUGAAAGGCGGGGGCCCAACCCCCGGACUGCUCUGGAAACUAUGUUACUAGAGUGCAGGAGAGGUAAGCGGAAUUCCUAGUGUAGCGGUGAAAUGCGUAGAUAUACGGAGGAACACCAGUGGCGAAGGCGGAUUGCUGGACAGUAACUGACGCUGAGGCGCGAAAGCGUGGGGAGCAAACAGG
RNAcentral lists this ribosomal RNA (253 nucleotides) under uncultured bacterium. RNAcentral describes it as "partial 16S ribosomal RNA". It matches the Rfam family "Bacterial small subunit ribosomal RNA", at positions 524 to 776 of the family's 1533-position model. The record is from RNAcentral.